GACGAACGCUGGCGGCGUGCCUAACACAUGCAAGUCGAACGGAAAGGCCCUGCUUUUGUGGGGUGCUCGAGUGGCGAACGGGUGAGUAACACGUGAGUAACCUGCCCUUGACUUUGGGAUAACUUCAGGAAACUGGGGCUAAUACCGGAUAGGAGCUCCUGCUGCAUGGGGGUCGUUGGAAAGUUUCGGCGGUUGGGGAUGGACUCGCGGCUUAACAGCUUGUUGGGUGAGUAGUUGCUUACCCAGGGUUUGACGGCUAGCCCGCCUGGGAGGGGGGACGGGCACCAGAGGCCUGAGGGAGGGAGCAGUCGGCAACGUGAGGCAGUAGGGGGAAAUCUUACACAACGGGGCGGAGUGUGAGGCGAAGACGCCCGGAUCGGGAAGACCGCCUUCGGGUGGUAAACCGCUGUCGCCUGUGACGAAGCGUGAGUGACGGUAAUGGGUAAAGAAGCACCGGCUAACUACGUG
RNAcentral lists this ribosomal RNA (468 nucleotides) under uncultured bacterium. RNAcentral describes it as "partial 16S ribosomal RNA". It matches the Rfam family "Bacterial small subunit ribosomal RNA", at positions 28 to 507 of the family's 1533-position model. The record is from RNAcentral.